This 440-nucleotide ribosomal RNA is filed under the name uncultured bacterium. Its description in RNAcentral is "partial 16S ribosomal RNA". It matches the Rfam family "Bacterial small subunit ribosomal RNA", at positions 338 to 795 of the family's 1533-position model. The record is from RNAcentral.
CCUACGGGAGACUGCAGUGGGGAAUAUUGCACAAUGGGGGAAACCCUGAUGUAGCGAUGCCGCGUGGAGGAAGAAGGUUUUCGGAUUGUAAACUCCUUUUAUCAGGGACGAUAAUGACGGUACCUGAAGAAAAAGCUCCGGCUAACUACGUGCCAGCAGCCGCGGUAAUACGUAGGGAGCGAGCGUUGUCCGGAAUUACUGGGUGUAAAGGGAGCGUAGGCGGGACGGCAAGUCAGAUGUGAAAACUUAGGGCGUAAAUUUCAGACUGCAUUUGAAACUGCUGGUUUUGAGUGAAGUAGAGGGUAGCGGGAGUCCUAGUGUAGCGGUGAAAUGCGUAGAUAUUAGGAGGAACAUCGGUGGCGAAGGCGGCUUACUGGGCUUUUACUGACGCUGAGGCUCGAAAGCGUGGGGAGCAAACAGGAUUAGAUACCCCAGUAGUC